GGGUGCUAUCAUACCAGCACUAAUGCACUAGAUCCCAUCAGAACUCCGCAGUUAAGUGUUCUUGGGCGUGUUGCACCCC
Non-coding RNA from Brassica napus (rape), 79 nucleotides. The record is from Rfam. Lineage: Eukaryota; Viridiplantae; Streptophyta; Magnoliopsida; Brassicales; Brassicaceae.